Long non-coding RNA from Oncorhynchus tshawytscha (Chinook salmon), 1546 nucleotides. The record is from Ensembl. Lineage: Eukaryota; Metazoa; Chordata; Actinopteri; Salmoniformes; Salmonidae.
CCAGUGAAGGACGCCAGUAAAUUCUUCUUUGGCAGCGCUGGCGCCACCGGCAAGAUGAUGUUCAGCUCUUCUGCCGGAGAGGAACCCUUCUCCUUCAUCCCAAAAUCCACUUCCCCCACCGUGGGGAGCACCAGCUCCCCUCCUCCCAGCAUGUCAGGGGAGCCUGUGAGGCCCACCCCCACCUUCAGAGUGGAGCCCCAGGCGCCGAAGGUGGUAGGAGGAGAGACCCUGGGGAGUUUCUCGGGUCUACGCGUGGGCCAGGGGGACGAAGAGAAGCCCUCAGCGGCCGCGUUUAGCUUUGGCCAGCCGGACAAUGGAAUGGGGCUAGGUUUAGGCACGGGCACGGCCCAGUUUAGCUUCGGGUCGACCCUCCAGCAAGGAAAGCCAGCUGAGGCUGCGUUUGGUGAGGCGGAUUCUACCGUGACAGACUUAUCCAAGACUGCAUUCAAGCCUCCCGAACUGGCAGCCCUGUCGAUCACCAAGCCUGCGUUCUCCACGUCAGCAGCCACCUCCUUCAGCAGCCUCCUAGCUGCACCCCUCUCUUCCCCGUCCCCCACCCUGGAGGAAGAGCCCCCCAAAGCCCCCACCCCCUUAUCAGACCCCACUCCACCCCCAGAGCCUGUUCCCUCACAGCCCAGCCCCUCUGUAAGCCCCCUGUUGCUGAGCCUGAGGUUACUACCUCCCCAGUGUCCUCAGUCACCCCCACCCCUACCAUCCCUGAAAAGGCCACAACUCCCCCUGCCUCGGCCUCCUCCCCAGCUCCCCCAUUGCCUCCACCACCCCUGCCCCCUGCCUCUACCACCCCACCAGCCCAGGCAGCCCCCAGCACUACCCCAGACCCUGCCCCCGAGGCAUCACCACUCACUAUCACCCCUACCCCGGAGGCCCCACCACCAGCCUACCCGGCUCCCAGCUCUGACAAACCUGGCUCCAUCUUCACCCAGCCACCUGCCAUCACCACAGAUAGCACCACUAUAGCUGUCACCAGCCUCACGACGGUCAUAAACACCGCAGCCCCUGCUGCCACCACCACCACCACCCCUACUGACUCCAACACCGCAGCCCCGGCUUCAGGCACAGUUUUCGGACAGCCUGCUCCAGUGACUGCCGGCGGCUUUAGUUCCACCGGCUUUGGUGCUCCACCUGCAGGUGCAGGGGCUGGCUUUGGAAAACCUGUAUUUGGGCAGACAGUUGGCGGGUUCGGCCAACCUGUUCCUAACGCAGCCGGUGGCUUCGGUUUUGGCCAGUCUGCGUUCGGGGCCAGCCCUGGAUUUGGACAGCCUGCAGCGGCCACCACUGCUGCAACUGCUAGUACUGCUGCUAGUGGAGGUGGUCUGUUUGGAGCCCCCAGUGCCAGCAAUGCCAGCAGUUUUUCCUUUGGCUCCCCCAGCGCCAGUACGGCCAGCAGUACGGGCACGGGCCUGUUUGGGCAGCCGAGCGCAACCCCGGCCUUCGGGCAGCAGAGUGCUGGGUUUGGACAAGGCUCUAUGUUUGGAAGCAACACAACCACCACAUCCUCUACUGGCUUCAGCUUUGGACAGCCUGC